Molecule: long non-coding RNA, 1483 nt
Filed under: Varroa destructor (honeybee mite)
Lineage: Eukaryota; Metazoa; Arthropoda; Arachnida; Mesostigmata; Varroidae
Description: uncharacterized LOC111255282, transcript variant X1
Source: RNAcentral
UUGAAAACCGUGACUACGGGUCCGUCUACUGUCACGGAAUGCGCCGUAAACUUCUUUAAACCAUCUGUUGUUUUGUCUAUACUGAUGUACAACAUGUGUACCUGGCAUUUGUGUUAUAUGCGUGCGUGUCUGGUAAUUUGUUUGGUGGAUUAUCACAGCUUGAGCAAAAAAAAUUGCCAACAAGGUGUCGACGAAUGAAGUAUUACUUCGACAAUGCCUUUCCACAGAAGGACUAUUAAAAAUUAGUGGCUCACAGAGACUGUCGGUGCGGAUGUCAACAACGACGCCAUCAAGCGUUCGUUUCGCAAGCUACUUAGAAAUAAACCAAUUAAGAUCAGGGCAGCUAUCGAUGCGAAUGACAACUAGUGAAUCAGCCAUAAUGAGCGAAUUGGGUUGCUUGCUAAACGUACCAGACGAGCGAAACGACCGCUGGCAAUCUUUCAAUCACCUAAUAAUAUGCUCUGGUCCGAGAUAAAAACUCUGCCAGCUGGUCGCGUUCUUCGGAACUAUGCGUCCGUGAGUAAGCUGAACGCCAAAGAUGCAUGGUUGCGCAACAGGGAAAAAAGCCUGUCAACCAUUUGGCGCUACAGCUUAUCUGGACUGCUCGGUAAAGAAGACAACAGAUGAUCCCGGUUUGUCAUGGAACGUGUCUUAACAGCCUGAUGGUUAACCUAUAGCCGAUAUGAAAAACGCUGAACUUAGCGAUUUAGUUGGUCACUUAACUUAGCUAUUCAAAAAAACUGUCAGAGGUUUCCUAGAUUAAGUUUUCUAGUCUUCAUGUACGUUUCUUGAAGUUCUCAGCAUUCAGGCAGUCCAAUAUGUGCUCAUUCCAAGCUCUGAAUCGUCUGAUGAUAUCGACGCUCGCUGAUUCGUCCCUGUUUUCACAGUAUCUCAUCUCUCGAACGAAUGCGGUCAAUGGCAUGUAAGACUGACAUUACGGGUCACGGCGACGCGUUUGCUGUCAUUAUCAACGACGUCAGCUUCUGUGCGUUUUAUAGAGGAAGGAUUACCGAGCACUGAUAUUCUGGGGUGUUAUUACCGGUGGCGAUGAAAACUUAGGAACACAUCUCAACUGAUAAUAGGUAACGACUGAAAUUACGAUAACCGCGGACAUCUGCCAGAUUAGAAGGAGACCGUGGCAGCGUGCUAGUAGAAAUGAGAAAUGCAUUUAACUUCGCGAUAUAGGAAUGUACGCAUGAAGAGAAACGCGAAACGGAAAAUAACACAGGUAACGGUUCCGGAAAUAAAAUACUGGAAGGCUUUUAUCAGAACUCGAUUUUCGAAAAUAACGAAAUACAAAAAAAACGUGUAUCGCCGUACUGUAGACUUUAGGAAUAAAUUACAGACACAAGAUAAAUGUUUCACUUUUCUACUAAUAUUGGUAAACACGACAUUUUGUUUUGUUCUUCCUAUGGCGCUAUGAUCCCCCAAGAUGUCACUGACAACGUUUACAGGAAGCAAUUUUAUAAUAACUGCGCAAACU